GUAUUGUAAGGUGUCAAAAAUGGAUAACAAAUGUCAUAGUAUAGUAAGGCACCAAAAAUGGUCAAAAAAUGUCAUAGUAUGAUAUGGUGUCAAAAACCAUCAAAAAAUGUCAUGGUAUUGUAAGGUGUCAAAAAUGGUUAAAAAAUGUCAUAGUAUAGUAAGGCACCAAAAAUGGUCAAAAAAUGUCAUAAUAUAGUAAGGUGUUAAAAAUUGUCUAAAAAUAUCAUAGUAUAGUAAGGUGUCAAAAACGGUCAAAAAAUGUCAUAGUAUAGUUAGGUAUCAAAAAUCAUCAAAAGAUGUCAUAGUAUAGUAAGGCAUCAAAAACGGUCAAAAAAUGUCAUAGUACAGUAAGGUGUUAAAAAUCGUCAAAAAAUGUCAUAGUAUAGUAAAGUAUCAAAAAUUGUAAUUCCUUCCAGGCACAGGCAGACACAAGUCGUUUCCUUGCUACAGGUUUAUUCUCUCUGAAUCCACCGUGAAAACUAAAAAACACAGAGUUGACGGGACAGUACAUGAAACCAUGUUAACUUAAUAAAAAAAUAUAUACACAGCACAUGAAACGAUAAUUUACAGACAAACAUAAUACCUCGUUGGCUACAUGCCGCAAAAGGAAUAGUGUUUAAAUCUUCAUGAGUUUCUCUAAAACAGUCUCCAUCAUCCCAAAGUUCACUGCAACCAGCCGGCAACCUUUUCUGAUGUACAGACGCCCAUCCUCCUAGCCUUCCGCACCCAUGCGAGAACAGCCCGAGAUCACGCAAACACAAACUAAGACUUUCAAAAUAAAAGCACCAUAUUUUACACACAAAUUACAAAUGACAAAUACAACUCAUAUUCAUAAUUAGAACAGAAAAAUAAACAAUUUACACAAAUCAAAAUACAACAAUUACAAAAAUGGUUAAAAUGUCAUAGUAUAGUGAGGUGUCAAAAAAUGUCAUAGUAUAGUAAAGUGUCAAAAACGGUCAAAAAAUGUCACAGUACAGUAAGGUGUUAAAAACCAUCAAAAAAUGUCAUAGUAUUGUAAGGUGUCAAAAAUGGAUAACAAAUGUCAUAAUAUAGUGAGGCACCAAAAAUGGUCAAAAAAUGUCAUAGUAUGAUAUGGUGUCAAAAACCAUCAAAAAUGUCAUAUUAUAGUGAGACAUCAAAAAUGGUCAAAAAAUGUCAUAGUAUAGUAAGGUGUCAAAAAUGGUCAAAAAAUGUCAUAGUAUAGUAAGGCACCAAAAAUGGUCAAAAAAUGUCAUAGUAUAGUAAGGUGUCAAAAAUCAUCAAAAAAUUGCAUAGUGUAGUAAGGCGUCAAAAAAUGUCAUAGUAUAGUAUGGUGUCAAAAAUGGUCAAAAAAUGUCAUAGUAUAGUAAGGUGUCAAAAAUGGUUUAAAAAUGUCAUAGUAUAGUAAGGUGUCAAAAAUCAUCAAAAAAUUGCAUAGUGUAGUAAGGCGUCAAAAAUGGUCAAAAAAUGUCAUAAUAUAGUGAGGCACCAAAAAUGGUUAAAAAAUGUCAUAGUAUUGUAAGGUGUCAAAAAUUGUCAAAAAAUGUCAUAGUAUACUAUGGUUUCAAAAACGGUCAAAAAAUGUCAUAGUAUAACAAAGUCAAAUUUAUUUGCAAUAAGACUUGAAGCUUUCGACAGGUUUUGUGAUUAACAUGUUCUGUCUCUGCAGGAGUUGGGGAGAAGACUGCAUCACCUGAGGAGGACAACAAAAGUGCUUAAACUUUAGAAAUGUAUAAAGUUUUAAGAAGUGUAACCUUGUAUGUGCUUCAUAUACGCUUAUCUUCAUAUGUACAUUAAAUGUGGGGUGAGAGAAUAUAUCCAAGUGUCUCCAUGUGGUCAAGCAUAUGUCAUUAUCUUUGUUGUGGUUUAUUAAAUGUUGUCAAAAAUAGAAUCAAUAAAGUUUUGAAGCCUAA
Molecule: long non-coding RNA, 1892 nt
Organism: Lates calcarifer (barramundi perch)
Lineage: Eukaryota; Metazoa; Chordata; Actinopteri; Centropomidae
Exons: 2
Source: RefSeq, a predicted model, not a curated record